UGCAAGUCGAACGGAGUAGCAAUACUUAGUGGCGGACGGGUGAGUAACGCGUGAGAAUCUACCCUUGAGAUGGGGACAACAGAGGGAAACUUCUGCUAAAACCCAAUAAGCCGGAAGGUGAAAUAUUAAUAGCUCAAAGAAGAGCUCGCGUCUGAUUAGCUAGUUGGAAGUGUAAAGGACUCCCAAGGCGACGAUCAGUAGCUGGUCUGAGAGGAUGAGCAGCCACACUGGGACUGAGACACGGCCCAGACUCCUACGGGAGGCAGCAGUGGGGAAUUUUCCGCAAUGGGCGCAAGCCUGACGGAGCAAUACCGCGUGAGGGAGGAAGGCUCUUGGGUUGUAAACCUCAGAAAUUAGGGAAGAAAAAAAUGACGGUACCUAAAAUAAGCAUCGGCUAACUCCGUGCCAGCAGCCGCGGUAAUACGGAGGAUGCAAGCGUUAUCCGGAAUCAUUGGGCGUAAAGAGUCCGUAGGUGGCAUGAGAAGUCCGCAGUCAAAGACAGAAGCUCAACUUCUGAAAGGCAGUGGAAACUAGCAAGCUAGAGUGCGAGAGGGGUAAAGGGAAUUCCCAGUGUAGCGGUGAAAUGCGUAGAGAUUGGGAAGAACACCUGUGGCGAAGGCGCUUUACUGGAGCGACACUGACACUGAGGGACGAAAGCUAAGGGAGCGAAAGGGAUUAGAUACCCCUGUAGUCUUAGCAGUAAACGAUGGAUACUAGGCGUAGUCUGUAACCAAUCAGGCUGUGUCGAAGCUAACGCGUUAAGUAUCCCGCCUGGGGAGUACGCACGCAAGUGUGAAACUCAAAGGAAUUGACGGGGACCCGCACAAGCGGUGGAGUAUGUGGUUUAAUUCGAUGCAACGCGAAGAACCUUACCAAGACUUGACAUUCGGCGGAUUUUGAGGAAACUUGAAAGUGCCUAAGGGAGCGCUGAAACAGGUGGGUGCAUGGGCUGUCGUCAGCUCGUGUCGUGAGAUGUUGGGUUAAGUCCCGCAACGAGCGCAACCCUCGUCCUUAGUUGCCAAUAUUAAGUUAGGAACUCUAGGGAGACUGCCGGUGACAAACCGGAGGAAGGUGGGGAUGACGUCAAGUCAGCAUGCCCCUUACGUCUUGGGCUACACACGUACUACAAUGGUAAGGACAAAGGGCAGCGAACUCGAAAGAGCAAGCGAAUCUCAUCAAACCUUACCCCAGUUCAGAUUGUCGGCUGCAACUCGCCGGCAUGAAGUAGGAAUCGCUAGUAAUCGCCGGUCAGCAUACGGCGGUGAAUCCGUUCCCGGGUCUUGUACACACCGCCCGUCACACCAUGGAAGUUGGUCACGCCCGAAGUCAUUACUUCAACCCGAAAGGGAGGAGGAUGCCGAAGGUGGGACUAGUGACUGGGGGUGAAGUCGUAACAAGGUAGCCGUACCGGAAGGUGUGGCUGGAUCACCUCCUUA
Molecule: ribosomal RNA, 1436 nt
Filed under: Merismopedia sp. AICB1015
Lineage: Bacteria; Bacillati; Cyanobacteriota; Cyanophyceae; Synechococcales; Merismopediaceae
Description: bacterial SSU rRNA
Rfam family: Bacterial small subunit ribosomal RNA
Source: RNAcentral